GGUUGCGAUCAUACCAGCACUAAUGCACCGGAUCCCAUCAGAACUCCGCAGUUAAGCGUGCUUGGGCGAGAGUAGUACUUGGAUGGGUGACCCCCUGGGAAGUCCUCGUGUUGCAACCCC
Molecule: ribosomal RNA, 120 nt
Filed under: Helianthus annuus (common sunflower)
Lineage: Eukaryota; Viridiplantae; Streptophyta; Magnoliopsida; Asterales; Asteraceae
Also listed under: 1 other name
Source: RNAcentral